RNAcentral lists this transfer RNA (77 nucleotides) under Streptomyces longisporoflavus. RNAcentral describes it as "tRNA-Trp". It matches the Rfam family "tRNA". Rfam says of the family: Transfer RNA (tRNA) molecules are approximately 80 nucleotides in length. Their secondary structure includes four short double-helical elements and three loops (D, anti-codon, and T loops). Further hydrogen bonds mediate the characteristic L-shaped molecular structure. tRNAs have two regions of fundamental functional importance: the anti-codon, which is responsible for specific mRNA codon recognition, and the 3' end, to which the tRNAs corresponding amino acid is attached (by aminoacyl-tRNA synthetases). tRNAs cope with the degeneracy of the genetic code in two manners: having more than one tRNA (with a specific anti-codon) for a particular amino acid; and 'wobble' base-pairing, i.e. permitting non-standard base-pairing at the 3rd anti-codon position. Lineage: Bacteria; Bacillati; Actinomycetota; Actinomycetes; Kitasatosporales; Streptomycetaceae. The record is from RNAcentral.
GCGGGGUGUAGCGCAGAGGCUGUCGCGUCGGUCUCCAAAACCGGAACACGCUGGUUCGAAUCCAGUCGCCCCGCCCC